GACAGAGGGUGCGAACGUUGCUCGGAAUUACUGGGCGUAAAGCGUGUGUAGGCGGCCACGCAAGUCGGAUGUGAAAGCCCUGGGCUCAACCCAGGAAGUGCACCCGAUACUGCAUGGCUCGAGUACCGGAGAGGUUGGUGGAAUUCUCGGUGUAGAGGUGGAAUUCGUAGAUAUCGAGAGGAACACCGGUGGCGAAGGCGGCCAACUGGACGAGUACUGACGCUGAGACACGAAAGCGUGGGGAG
This 245-nucleotide ribosomal RNA is filed under the name uncultured bacterium. RNAcentral's name for it is "partial 16S ribosomal RNA". It matches the Rfam family "Bacterial small subunit ribosomal RNA", at positions 524 to 768 of the family's 1533-position model. The record is from RNAcentral.